UCAAAAGAGAAAAAAAAGUUUAUUAAGAAUGUAUAAGUACAAUUUAAAAAUUAAGAAAGAGGUUUUUAAAAAAAGAACUAAUCAGGACCCCUACACCUAUAUAAAUGCAAUGAAAUAAGUUUAAUAUUUAUAAUUUAAUAUUGGAUUUAAAAUUUCAGUAGUUAUAAUAGCAUAGCUGAUCAUGCAGAAGAAAGAACUAACAAGCUCCAACAGCGGUCAGAUGAAAUUAGCCAAUUAGGGGAACAACAACAACAGAAAGAUUGGGGGGAAAAAAAAAAGAAAAAAGUUAAAAGUUUUCUGUGGCACCACAUCCAUGCAUAAAUAUAACAAUUAUGAGUGUACCCAAAAGAGGAGAGACAGAAGAGCAGGAAGCUUAAAUAUGUACUGUAUAAACAUUUCCCAAAUUCUAGGAGGGAUACGAACUCAAGAAAUUCAAAAUGUCACAAUUAGGAUUAAUUUUAAAAGGAAUACUCUAAGAUGCAUUAAUCAAAUUGUAAAAAUCAAAGAUGAAAAGAAUCUUGAAAGGAGCAAGAGGAUAAACUCAAAGGGGUCUUCUCAGUUAAGACUAUCAGGAAACUUCUUAACAAAGUACUUGCAAGUGAGGAGAAAGUGGGAUGACAUUCUGAAAGGGCUAAAAUGAAAUUUUAAAAAGGCUAUUAAAAAUACUCUAAACUGCAAAGCUGCAUUUCAGCAAUAAAAAAGAGGUAAGUAUAUUUUAACACAAACAAAAUCUGAGAAAGUUUGUCACCAUGAGACAAGACUUACAAGAAAUGUCUAAAGGGUUCUUCCAUGUGAAACAAAAGCAUGAUAAAUAACAAUAACAAAACACAUGGCUCUCCAGUAAAGGUAAAUGAACAGUCAAUACAGUAUACUCUCCUACUCUAAAAGUAAUGUUUAAAUUACUAUUAAAAUUAGUAUUCAAAUAUAAAAAGCAAAUGUAUUAAUAACAACUAUAUGAUACACAACUCCUUAGUGGAUACCCAGUACAAAUAGUUGCAUAGUAUAACAUUAGUAGCAUAAAAGGUGGGAAAUGAAAAGGUAGAGUCUUCAUAUAGUAAUAAAACUAACGUACUAUCAGCUUAAAUUAGAACAAUACAAGAUGUUUUACACAAAAACCAUGCUAGGUAAUUGAAAACAUAUCUCUAGUAGUUACACAAGAGACAAAAAUGUAACAUUGAUAUAACACAACUAAUCAAAAACAAAGACUGCAAGUGUAGAAGAGAACAAAACAGUCAGUCAAAAAUUAACAAAAUGCUCGUAGUAAGUUCUCAACUAUAUGGAUUCUUCAAUCAAAAGACACAGAAAGGCAAGUUAGAUUUAAAAAAAAUUAAAAAAAUUAAACAAUAUGGUGCCACUAACCACAUUUAGACUUAACUUAGACUUAAUAACACACAGAGACUGAAAGUAAAGAGAUUUAAAAAGCUAUUCCAAGUAAAAGUUGAUCAUGAAAGAGUAGAUGCUGCUAUACUCACAUCAGAAAAAAAGACUUUCAGUCAAAAGCUGUAAAGAGAGUGGGGGAAUAUUAUUAUGAUAAAGGGGUCAUUUAAUUAAAAUGCUGUACCAACUGUAAAAAUCCCCACUCCUUUCAUCAGUGUUCCUACAUAUAUAAAGGAUGAAAUAGAUUGGAAAGAUUCUACAAACUGCAAUUUAGUAACAAUGAGAGAUUUCAAUAGAACCAACAGUUCUAUUGAAUUAGUGGAUUUGAACAAUACUUUAGACUAUAUAUACCUACCAGAUAAUAAUAGAAUUUUCCCUUCAACAGCAGAAUAUAGAAAAUAUGAAACCAAGAGUCUUCAUGAGGUAUAAAAUUAAGGUACUAUCAGCUUAAAUUAGAGCAUUUUAACUGUAAAAGGUAAGUCUUAUGAGAUGAAUAAAAAUAAAUCCACAAUACAUCAGAAUUUAAACAAUGAAGAAAAAGCAGUUCCAAAAGGGAAGUUUAUAGCAAUAAAUGCCCACAUCCAAAAUGAUAUCCAAUAGAUAACUUAUGGUUAUAUCUCAAGAAUAUAAAAAAGAACAAUCAAAACAAGUGAAAAUCAGCAGAAGGAAGAAAAUAAGAAAGUGCAAAAAUACACAAAUAGGGAGCAGAAAUACAAUGGAAAAGAUCAAUGCAACUAAGCAACUAAGCAUUGGUUCACUAAGGUGAUAAAACAGCAUACGUUAGCCAGACUAACUUAAAAAGAUGAAAAAGAUGAGUCAAAUGAAUACAAUUCAAAAGAGAAGACAUUACAACUGAUACCACAAAAAUACAAAGACUCCUAAGAGACUACUAUGAACAAUUAUUGUUCCCAAAUUGGAAAACCCUAAAGAAAUGGGUAAAUGCAUAGACAAGCAGAAUCUACCAAGUGAAUCAGAAAAAAAUAGAAAAUCUGAACAGACCGUAUACAUAAGGAGAUGGAAUUAGCAGUACAAGUCUUCCACUGAAGCAAAGCCUGGUGAGUUCAUGAGUAAAUUUUACCAAACAUUUAAUGAGGACCUAAUGUCAUGGGUGGGUCUCUGUUCUUAGAGCUCCCAAGAUGGCGGCAAGCCUUUUGUUCUCUGACCUGGGGUUCUUGGCCUCUCAGAUUCCAAAGAAUGGAACCUUGGGCCAUGCGGUGGGUGUUAUAGCUCUGUUAGAUGGCAUGGGUCACGGAAGAGAACUGUGGAACCCUGCGACCAGUGUUCAGUUUGAUUAGGAUGAACCUGGCACUUAGCCAUGCAGGAACAAUGGCGAGCCUUUAGCCUAAUCAGGAGCGGCAACGGGCACCUCGCAGCAGACACCCUGCCAGAUCUGGAGGGGUGGGAGUCAACAGCAGGUCUGCGAUAGUGGCAUUCAGCAGUGCUGGACAGUAAGUGAAAGCUAAGUUUGAGCCUGAACAAACAUGGACCAGAAGAGUGUGCAGUUGUAAGCUUUAACAGAGUGAAAAUAGAGUUCUCACACAAUGAGUUCUCACAACCCCAAAGGGGGUUGCCCACUCCCUGCUCAAAUGCCUGGGUUUAUAUCCCGAUCAUUGUCCCUCCACCCGUGCUCUCAGGCGAUAUAUGAUUUGCCUAUUUCUUAAACUCCUGCUUGUAGCCUCAUUUGUAUUUUAAUGAGCCCUCUUUACUAACUGAUUGGUUGGGUAUGAGCUGUGUUACAAGCCCCAUGUUUAAAGGCAGGUGCAGUCAACUUCCCCAGCUAGGCUUAGGAAUUCUUAGUCGGCCUAGGAAAUCCAGCUAGUCCUGUCUCUCACUUAAACCAAUUUUUUUCAAGGUUUUCCAAAAAAACUGAAGGAAGACUUUUUCAUUGACUUUUAUGAGGCUAGAUACCAGUCUGAUACAAAAGGCAAGAACGACAGUACAAGAAAAGUAAAUUGUAGGCCAGUAUCUCUGAAAAAGUUUGAUGUAAACAUCCUCAAGAAUAUACUAGAAAACUGAAUUGAACAGUACACUGAUAUGGUUAUUCACCAUGAUCAAGUGGGAUUCAUCCCUGGGAUGCAAAUACUGGUUCAACAUAUGCAAAGAAAAAAACCUGAUAUGCCAUUUUAACAUAAUGAAGAACAAAAAAACCAUACAAUCAUCUCAUUAGAUGCAAAGAAAGCAUUCCAACAAAUUCCUCAUAUUUUCAAAAUAUAAAUUCUCAAUAAACUAGGAACAAACAAAUACAAAACCCACAGCUUACUCAUCAUAAUACUCAACAGUGAAACAGGGUGUUUUUCUGGAAGAUCAACAACAAAACAAAGAUACUCAUUCUCAUCACUUGCAUUCUGAUGUGUUGAAUAGACGUGGUGGUACUGUGUUGAACACCUUACUGGAAGAUCUAAUCACAGCAAUCAGACACUCACUACAACCACCACCAACAAAAGUAAGGAAUAGAAGACAUUCAGAUAGAAAAGGAAAAAUUAGAAUGGUCUCUGACAAUGACAUAAUCUUGUGUAUAGAAAUCCCUAAGGCCUCCACUAAACAACUGUUGAAACUGAUAAAUGAGUGCAGUAAAGUUGCAGGGUUCAAAAUCUAUACAUAAAAAUCAGCAGUAUUUCUGCACAGUAAUAAAUAUUUUUUUAAAAAAUUAAGAAACAACUUGAAUAAUAGUAUCAUCUUAAAAAAUACCUAGCAGUAAAUUUAACCAAGAAGGUACAUACUGAAAACUAUAAAACAUUGAAAAGAGAAGUGGUAGACGAUACAAAUAUACAACAUACCCCUUUUACGGUCAGGAAAAAGUACUGUUAAAAUGUCCAUACUAUCACCUGGGUGCAGUGGCUCACACUUGUAAUCCCAGCACUUUGGGAGGCCGAGGUGGGCGAUCACGAGGUCAGGAGUUCAAGACCAGCCUGGCCAACAUGAUGAAACCCCAUCUCUACUAAAAGUUCAAAAAUCAGUCAGGCACGGUGGUGGGUGCCUUUAAACCCAGCUACUUGAGGCUCAGGCAGGAGAAUCACUUGAAACUGGAAGGCAGAAGUUGUAGUGAGCCGUGAUUGCACCACUGCACUCCAGACUGGGCAACAAGAGCGAAACUCCAUCUCAAAAAAAAAAGAAAAAAAGAAGAAGAAACAUGUCCAUAGUAUCCUGAGAGGUCUUCAGACACAAUGCAACCCCUAUCAAAAUUCCAAUGUCUUUAUUUGCAGCGAGAGAAUAAGCCCCAAAUUUGCAUGGAACAACAAAAGACCUCAGUAAAAACGAUCAAGAGCAAAAACAGCAAAGCCGGAGGAAUCACACCACCUGAUUUCAAAAAUGAUUACAAAGGAAUGGUUAACUAAACCUCAAGAUAUUGGUAUAAUACAGACAUAUGUAGAGCCCAGAAAUAAACCCAAGCAUUUAUGAUGGAGUGAUUUUUGACAUGUCAAGACCACAAAAUGAGAAAAGCACUGUCUCUUAAAGAAACUGUGUUGGGAGAACCUGAUUCCCAUGAGCAGAAGACUGGCAUUGGACGUAAGCUAACCUCAUACCCUACAGAAAAAUCAAUGGAACAUGGAUUAAAGGCUUUUAAACGUAAGACAUGAAACCGUGAAAGCACUGAAGGGAAACAGAGAAGAAAUGCUCCACAACAAUUGCUCUGGGAAAGCAUUUCUUGGAGAUGACCUCAAAGCACAGAGAACAAAAGCAAAAAUAAACAAACAAAAUGGCUUCUGCACAGUAAAGAAAACAACAGGCUAAAGAGAUCACCCAUCAACUGAAAGAAAAUAUUUCCAAGCCAUACAUCUGAUAUGAGGCUGCUAUCCAAAAUGUAUGAAAAACUGAAACAUCUUUAAUGUCAAGAAGAUAAAUAAGCCAGUCAAAAUAUGGGCAAAGGACAAAAACGGACACUUCUCCACAAAGCCAUAGAAAUGGCCAACAGGUAAAUGACAAAAUGCUCAUCAUAACUGUUACAAAAAUGCAAGUCAAAACCACAGGGGGUUAUUACCAUACAUCCCUGAUAGAAUGGUUAUAAAAAAGACAAAGGAUAAGAAGUGUUGGUGAAGGUGUGGAGCAAAGAGAACUCUUGUGUGCUAUUUGUGGGAAUGGAAGUUAAUACAGCCACUAUGAAAAACAGCAUUAAAGUUCCUAAAAAUUACAAAUAGGAUUACCAAAUAAUUCAGCAAUGCCAUUUCUGGGUAUAUGUGGAAACAAUGAAAUUGGUUAUGUUGGAGAUACAGCUGUGCUCCCAUGUUCAUUGCUGCACUAUUUACAAUAGCUAAGAUAUGGAGGUUACUAUAAGUGUCCACUGUUAGAAAACCAUUCGUCUGAUGGUGGACACUUACGUAUUCCUAAUAGUAAUGAAAUAAUAUUAUGUAAUAGUAUUUGCAAUGAAAUUAUUAGUUACCCUUAAAAUAGGGGGCAGAGGCAGAUUCUCUCAUUUGGGACGAGAAUAAACCUAGAGGAUAUUAUGUUAAGUGAAAUAAGCCAGACAGAAAAACCAAUGUCACAAUAUCUCACUUAUACAUGAAAUCUAAGAAAGUUCAACUCAUAUAAGUAAAGAGCUGAUUGAUGGUUACCAGAGGGCAAAGGUGGGUGGAGGGGGAGUAGGAAUAAAGAAAUAUGUUGAUCAACGUGGGACAAAGUUUUAAACAGAUGCAUUUAGUUUUAGUAAACUUUGUGCAAAAUGGGAAUUGUAAUAAAUAAGAUAUUGUAAAUACAGGAAUGCAAGUAUAGUAGGUAGGGCAAAAAAAAAAAAAA
RNAcentral lists this long non-coding RNA (6108 nucleotides) under Macaca fascicularis (crab-eating macaque). RNAcentral describes it as "lncRNA (ENSMFAG00000062868.1)". Lineage: Eukaryota; Metazoa; Chordata; Mammalia; Primates; Cercopithecidae. The record is from RNAcentral.